RNAcentral lists this ribosomal RNA (590 nucleotides) under Candida albicans. RNAcentral's name for it is "eukaryotic LSU rRNA". It matches the Rfam family "Eukaryotic large subunit ribosomal RNA", at positions 64 to 668 of the family's 3401-position model. The record is from RNAcentral. Lineage: Eukaryota; Fungi; Ascomycota; Pichiomycetes; Serinales; Debaryomycetaceae.
CCCAAAGGGGUAUUGCCUCAGUAGCGGCGAGUGAGCGGCAAAAGCUCAAAUUUGAAAUCUGGCGUCUUUGGCGUCCGAGUUGUAAUUUGAAGAAGGUAUCUUUGGGCCCGGCUCUUGUCUAUGUUCCUUGGAACAGGACGUCACAGAGGGUGAGAAUCCCGUGCGAUGAGAUGACCCGGGUCUGUGUAAAGUUCCUUCGACGAGUCGAGUUGUUUGGGAAUGCAGCUCUAAGUGGGUGGUAAAUUCCAUCUAAAGCUAAAUAUUGGCGAGAGACCGAUAGCGAACAAGUACAGUGAUGGAAAGAUGAAAAGAACUUUGAAAAGAGAGUGAAAAAGUACGUGAAAUUGUUGAAAGGGAAGGGCUUGAGAUCAGACUUGGUAUUUUGCAUGUUGCUCUCUCGGGGGCGGCCGCUGCGGUUUACCGGGCCAGCAUCGGUUUGGAGCGGCAGGAUAAUGGCGGAGGAAUGUGGCACGGCUUCUGCUGUGUGUUAUAGCCUCUGACGAUACUGCCAGCCUAGACCGAGGACUGCGGUUUUUACCUAGGAUGUUGGCAUAAUGAUCUUAAGUCGCCCGUCUUGAACACCCGGACCA